This 1493-nucleotide long non-coding RNA is filed under the name Brassica rapa (field mustard). Its description in RNAcentral is "long non-coding RNA (BRAP_LNC007251)". Lineage: Eukaryota; Viridiplantae; Streptophyta; Magnoliopsida; Brassicales; Brassicaceae. The record is from RNAcentral.
UUUUUUUAUUUUUUUAAUAAAAUGGUAAUGUUACAUUAUGGAGAUAAGCCGUUUUUUUAAGUGUAAAAUGGUAAUAUUACAUAUGUUUAAUGUAGUAUUUUCAUUUUUUUAUCUUGUAUGUUUACAUAUUAUUUAUUAUUUUUAAAAUUAUAUAUAAUGUUUUUUUUACAAAAUAGUAAUGUUACAUUAUGGAGAUAAGACGUCUUUUUUUUAGUGAAAAAUGGUAGUCUUACAUAUGUUUAAUGUAGUUUUUCCAUUUUUUAUAUUGUAUGUUUACAUAUUAUUUAUUUAAAAUAAAAAUGUAAAAUGGUAAUCGUACAUAUGUUUAAUGUAGUAUUUCUAUUUUUUAUGUUGUAUGUUUACAUUAUAUUUAUUAUUUUCCAAAUUAUAUAUAAUGUUUUUUAUUUUUUUUAUAAAACGGUAAAGUUACAUUAUGGAGAUAAGCCGUCUUUUUUUCAAGUGAAAAACUAUAAUCUUACAUAUGUUUAAUGUAGUUUUUCCAUUUUUUUAUGCUGUAUGUUUACAUAUUAUUUAUAAUUUUCGAAAAUUAGUAAUAUUAAAAUGUAAAACUAUAUUUUAUGCCAUGUGUCAUCUUACGGGAGAAGUUUUUUUUGCUGAUGUGGACGCUUUAUGGAGCCUCAAAAGGUCCUUUUUAUUAGUAAGGAUUCUAUUUCUUAUACUUUAUAUUUAGUUAAUAUCUAUAUUUUAUAUUUUAAGUCUUAAUGUAUUUUUCCAUUUUUAAUGUAAAAUGGUAAUAUUUAAUAGAAGAACUUGGACAAAUAGUCAAAUAGUUAUAUUUAUGUUUUUUUAUUUUUUUAUAAAAUGGUAAUGUUACAUUAUGGAGAUAAGCCGUUUUUUUAAGUGUAAAAUGGUAAUAUUACAUAUGUUUAAUGUAGUAUUUUCAUUUUUUUAUGUUGUAUGUUUACAUAUUAUUUAUUAUUUUUAAAAUUAUAUAUAAUGUUUUUUUAACAAAAUAGUAAUGUUACAUUAUGGAGAUAAGUCGUCUUUUUUUUAGUGAAAAAUUGUAGUCUUACAUAUGUUUAAUGUAGUUUUUCCAUUUUUUAUAUUGUAUGUUUACAUAUUAUUUAUUUAAAAUAAAAAUGUAAAAUGGUAAUCGUACAUAUGUUUAAUGUAGUAUUUCUAUUUUUUAUGUUGUAUGUUUACAUUAUAUUUAUUAUUUUCCAAAUUAUAUAUAAUGUUUUUUAUUUUUUUUAUAAAACGGUAAUGUUACAUUAUGAAGAUAAGCCGUCUUUUUUUCAAGUGAAAAAUUAUAAUCUUACAUAUGUUUAAUGUAGUUUUUCCAUUUUUUUAUGCUGUAUGUUUACAUAUUAUUUAUAAUUUUCGAAAAUUAGUAAUAUUAAAAUGUAAAACUAUAUUUUAUGCCAUGUGUCAUCUUACGGGAGAAGUUUUUUUUGCUGAUGUGGACGCUUUAUGGAGCCUCAAAAGGUCCUUUUUAUUAGUAAGGAUUCAAAAAAUAAUUUUGGAAGUCUAAU